UUCUCGCAACAGAAAGUUCCGGAACACCAGUAUAUAGCCUGUAUAGCAGCCUGCAGCAGUAUAGGCCUGCGAGGCACAUCAGUUCAAAGCGCAAAUUAAGGGCAAGAUGCAAACGGUGGACAAGGCCCGCCCCGCUCCCGGAAUCCAUAUUAUCCCGACAAGCACAGAGCGCUGACUUCAGAAUGCCCGACGUUGCGCUUUCUUCUGGAGCAAUCGUCGCCUGGGAGGACACUUCCUCGAGACCGGCCCUUAUGCAGAGACAUGAGAAGUACCUUGUGGUCAGUGAAGCGGCACACCAUGUACACCAUGUAUGCCAGCCACCACAUCGUCUACCCGAGGCGCCCUUUGGAAGACGUGGUCCACACACGUUCUUUAGUCAGUGAAGAUGGAACCUUUGGGGAAGGCAGAACUGACAAAGCACAGGGAAUGCAUAUCUAAGGCGAACUGGAAGUCUUUCACAUCAUCUUGGUUGAAGUCUCCUACCAUGAAGGCUUAUUCCUGACAAACCAGCAGCCAAUAAGGAAAGCCUGGAACAAGGAGAGACGAAGGCUGAAGCACGGCCAGCGAUACGUCCAGUUCUCGAGUAUUCCCUACCUUCUUGACAUGUGCCACACCUACCAAGCUUUCCUCAUCAGCUACUUCAUCUCCCCUUUCCGUUUGCAAACAACCCCUUGCGUGCAUGCUUAUCGCAAGGGUGACGGGUGGCGGGGAAGUGUAGAGAGAUGAAUGCUGACAAAGAAAGAAAACAGAGAGGGGACCUCUUUGUACGUGUGACACAUGUACGUGUGGUUUGUGUGCCCAUUAAAAUAAAACA
This is a long non-coding RNA of Ornithodoros turicata, 814 nucleotides long. RefSeq lists it as uncharacterized. Lineage: Eukaryota; Metazoa; Arthropoda; Arachnida; Ixodida; Argasidae. The record is from RefSeq and is a predicted model, not a curated record. The transcript has 5 exons.